ACAAGCACCCCUUGGACAUGCACACACACACAUGUGCACACCCACACUCAACAUCAUUGCAUCACUCCUUACUGAACAGAAGGAGGUACAUAAACGAGUGGCGUAAGAUCAGGAGAAACUUUCAGGGCAAACUUUGUCCCUUCUUGGACUGUCUGCUGUGACCUCAAGGUACUGUAUAAAAACAUGUCUCUCUCUGUGUUUCAGAUGGGGAAGCGAAAGUUCUCAGGGUUAGAGAUUACCCUGAUAGUGCUGUUUGUCCUGGUUGGGAUUGUUGCUAUAGCACUUGUUGUCCUGCUGGCCACGGGAGAGCCCGCUGUCACCAAAGAGCCAACAAACCCAACCCAGCAGCCAGAUCCAGAGCCUUUUGUGCCAGUUUGUCCAGACAUCCCAAUCGCAGAGAGAGUGGAUUGUCACCCAGAGGCCGGCGGCUCCCAGGUAAAAUACUGACCGUUUCAUCAGUCUAUGGUUAUUAUGUCCAUCACUCAUUACUCCUGAUUUAAUC
This is a long non-coding RNA of Pygocentrus nattereri (red-bellied piranha), 502 nucleotides long. The record is from Ensembl. Lineage: Eukaryota; Metazoa; Chordata; Actinopteri; Characiformes; Serrasalmidae.